GCAUUUUGAUAUAAAAAUAGUUACAGUAAUUAUUAUGACAUUGGAGUUCAACUCAGAGUCUCCAUCUCUUAACUCAAGUUGCCUCCUAACCAUGGGGCUGCAAGUUCUCGCCAGCAUAGUCCCUUCUCCAAAGCUAAACCUCUCAAGUGUGACGGCCAUCAACAACCACCUCUGCAACACCUUGCACCAAAUUGAAGCUGCUCUUUCUAGUAGCAAUGACAAUGCCACCAAUGCCCUUCUAUUUCAUUGUCCCCUUUCUCCACAAUUUCUUUUCGUUUCAAUUCUUUUGUUGGUAUAAAUUAUAAAAAUAAUAAAAACACGAAAUUGCUAAAAUUAAGUCUGGACAAAAUUCUGUGGCUCGAUUCAAAGCCCUAAAAUUCCCUCACCCCCAAAUGCCCCAACCCAUAUCACAAUUGACCUAGGAGAAUAUAAAGAUGCAAACAGUGAAACCUAAAAUCAAACUUGAGAAGGAAAAUUGGAAGACAAUAAGCUUACAGAUUAACGGGAGAAGCAAAAGCAAGGCACCACCUGCAAGACCUCCUCAGCAGCGGGUUUGACCUUCUCAAAAUUCCAGUUCAAGAUUCGUCUUUCACGCACCACAAUGCAACAGGGUUUUAGGACUUUUC
This 626-nucleotide long non-coding RNA is filed under the name Vigna radiata. RNAcentral's name for it is "long non-coding RNA (VRAD_LNC012087)". The record is from RNAcentral. Lineage: Eukaryota; Viridiplantae; Streptophyta; Magnoliopsida; Fabales; Fabaceae.